This 407-nucleotide ribosomal RNA is filed under the name uncultured bacterium. RNAcentral's name for it is "partial 16S ribosomal RNA". It matches the Rfam family "Bacterial small subunit ribosomal RNA", at positions 30 to 526 of the family's 1533-position model. The record is from RNAcentral.
AUUGAACGCUGGCGGCAAGCCUAACACAUGCAAGUCGAGUGGAGCGGCGGACGGGUGAGUAAUGCCUCGGAAUCUGCCUGGUAGUGGGGGAUAACGUCCGGAAACGGGCGCUAAUACCGCAUACUAUCAGAUGAGCCUAGGUCGGAUUAGCUAGUUGGUGGGGUAAAGGCCUACCAAGGCGACGAUCCGUAAAUGGUCUGAGAGGAUGCUCAGGCACACUGGAACUGAGACACGGUCCAGACUCCUACGGGAGUGAGAAGUGGGGAAUAGUUGACAAUGGGCGAAAGCCUGAGCCAGCCAUGCCGCGGGUGUGAAGAAGGUCUUCGGAUUGUAAAGCUCUUUAAGUUGGGAGGCGUUACCAACAGAAUAAGCACCGGCUAACUUCGUGCCAGCGGCCGCGGUAAUAC